Otolemur garnettii (small-eared galago) is the source of this 74-nucleotide non-coding RNA. The record is from Rfam. NCBI's taxonomy places the organism in Eukaryota, Metazoa, Chordata, Mammalia, Primates, Galagidae.
GCGCCUGUGGCUUAAAGGAGUAGGGCGCUGGCCCCAUAUGCCAGAGGUGGUGGGUUCAAACCCAGCCUGGGCCA